AGUUCAUUUCUUUAAGAUGAAAAAGUGAAGCCUUGCCAUCUUAGCUCAUCAAUAUACUAUGGAGGACAAGAUGUCUAUUCGCAUCCACCCAAUAGCCAGAGGAGCAGCUCUACCAAUACAACUGUGAGUUCAUUCUCAUAUAUGAGAAUAAAUUGAACAAUGUCAUAACAGCAUCUCAGACAUAUAUAUAUAUUGCUAUAAUUAAGUUCUAAGAUGGUUUAUGAAGUGACUAGUUUAGUCCUCAAUAUCUUAACAAAAGAAUAUACUUGACAUGGUUACAUAUACUCUUCUAGGUAUUUGAAGGUAUUGGUUAGUAUACUCAUCUGUCACUUGUCCUGAGGAGAGCUUUUGGUCUUCUGCCUUUCUUGUUUCCCCUAUGUUUUUCCUACUAUUAUAACUUCAACCACUAAAGGCUUUUGUUUCCUUUAUUUUAAUUUCCUUUUAAUCAUUAAUGUCUAAGUUAUAUGCAUUUCAGCUACGUCAAUUUGAGUGAUGAAUUUUUGCCCUGCUUGUUUGGGAGCAUGGUUUUUCUGGAAUACAGGAGUUUGGACCUUCAUUAACAAUGACACAUGAUUUCACUCUUACCACAUUUUUUUGUGCUGAGAAGAUUUAACAAGUUAGAAAGCUAAGGCGACUAUUGUAAAGUGAUGUGCCCCUAACUAUUAUCAUCCUCGUCUCGACCUUCAAAUUUCCAGCGCACUGAUGCAUUAUAAUCAUGUUGAGCUUCAUAUCUGUCUUAUGGCAGGAAGUUAUAAAUACAGGGAAGCUUUCCCCCCUCCUCCGCUAAGAGAUGGAUGUAUUAUUAAUAGUAAUAGCCAAAUAUGACUGCUUGCUGGUUACACUUAUAUCAUACUUAUUAUGUGUUGUUGUAGUCAUCACUCUUUCUUAUCCUUACACUUAUUAUAAAAGACUAUAGAGACAAUGCAUUUACGUUAAACUGUAAAGUUGGUUGGUUUAGGAACCAGAUUACUACUUAUUAAAUUGUGGACUUGACUAAUUUUAGGCAUUUUCCUUAUGCAGGUUCUCCUUCUUGUUCUUGUUUCUGUACGUAUCACUUCUUUUGAAAGUGUCAAUUCUAUCAUGCUUUGGAAUCGGCCUUGAACUUUAAUCAUUUCAUUGCUAAUGAAAUUUAAGAUUCUGAAAGGAAGACUCAUUCCUUAAUACCGACCAACUAAACCUUUUCUGUAAGUCAAGUCCAAAUGCAUAAUAGCAGUGGAAAGGACUCUAAUAUCUAAAUUUUCUUGAGAGCCUCGCACCAACUUACUUCACCUAUGUGACAAAAAAUAGUUGAUUCUACGUCCGAGUAAAGGAAAAAUGUCGCAAUAGGAUGAAGGUCGCAAUAGGAUGACGGUCAGUGUAACAAUAAGAUGAAAUUGUGUAAAUAUCAUAUAUCUGGAUAUAGAACGAAAUAGAUAUUGAAGAUUCAUACAUCUGAUACUAAAAAAUCCAAGAUGGUGGCUUAGUACACAGAAUGAUUGAUUGUGACCUCACAAGAACUUUCUGCUGUUUUGUAGAUUGGCUUUUCUUCCAUUUCGUUUACUCUCAGUUCACUGGACGUGCCACAAACGAGACAAUUACUUUUUUAAAUGAGUCCAAGAAGUUAUCUCAGAGGUGUUUACUACCAAAACCAUAUAUAGUCCUGAGAUUUUAUGAGAUGGGACCAAAUUCUAUUACUAUUGAUAAGAAAAGUUCCCAUUGACUAAUAU
Molecule: long non-coding RNA, 1706 nt
Filed under: Nicotiana tabacum (common tobacco)
Lineage: Eukaryota; Viridiplantae; Streptophyta; Magnoliopsida; Solanales; Solanaceae
Description: long non-coding RNA (NTAB_LNC013606)
Source: RNAcentral